GAAUUCAACUCCUACGGGAGGCAGCAGUGGGGAAUUUUGGACAAUGGGGGCAACCCUGAUCCAGCAAUGCCGCGUGAGUGAAGAAGGCCUUCAGGUUGUAAAGCUCUUUUGUCAGGGAAGAAACGGUAGUAGCUAAUAUCUAUUACUAAUGACGGUACCUGAAGAAUAAGCACCGGCUAACUACGUGCCAGCAGCCGCGGUAAUACGUAGGGUGCAAGCGUUAAUCGGAAUUACUGGGCGUAAAGCGUGCGCAGGCGGUUGUGUAAGUCAGAUGUGAAAUCCCCGGGCUCAACCUGGGAAUUGCGAUGGAGACUGCAAGGCUAGAAUCUGGCAGAGGGGGGUAGAAUUCCACGUGUAGCAGUGAAAUGCGUAGAGAUGUGGAGGAACACCGAUGGCGAAGGCAGCCCCCUGGGUCAAGAUUGGCGCUCAUGCACGAAAGCGUGGGGAGCAAACAGGAUUAGAAACCCCAGUAGUCCAGGCGUU
RNAcentral lists this ribosomal RNA (483 nucleotides) under uncultured bacterium. RNAcentral's name for it is "bacterial SSU rRNA". It matches the Rfam family "Bacterial small subunit ribosomal RNA", at positions 328 to 803 of the family's 1533-position model. The record is from RNAcentral.